UGAGAAUAAGCUGAAAAUCAAAGGAAAAGCUGAAGCUGCUAUUUGCUGCUUUGAAAAAAAAGCCAGUUUUUUCAAAGCACACGGAGCUACAAUGCUCCUUUAAUGAAAAGACACACUAUCAUCCUGCUUUUUUUUUUCCAAAAGCACUUUCACAAAAAAGUUUACCAAACACUCUACUGGCUUUAUUUCACAGCCGCUUAUUCUCACAGCACAGCCGCUUAUUCUCACAGCAGUUUUUUUUCAAAGCACAGCAAUACCAAACCAGCCCUG
Molecule: long non-coding RNA, 270 nt
Filed under: Malus domestica (apple)
Lineage: Eukaryota; Viridiplantae; Streptophyta; Magnoliopsida; Rosales; Rosaceae
Description: long non-coding RNA (MDOM_LNC000938)
Source: RNAcentral